GACGGGGCCCGCACAAGCAGCGAGGCAUGUGGUUUAAUUCGAGGCUACACGAAGAACCUUACCUGGGUUUGACAUGUACGAGUAAGUCCCAAGAAACUGGGCCCUAUGCGUAGCAAUACGUAUACCCGUACACAGGUGGUGCAUGGUUGUCGUCAGCUCGUGCCGUGAGGUGUAAGGUUAAGUCCUUGAACGAGCGCAACCCACGUGGUUAUUUGCUCUUGGUCGCAAGGCCAAGCACUAUAACCAAACCGCUACCGACGAGGUAGAGGAAGGUGUGGAUGACGUCAAAUCAUCACGCCCCUUAUGUCCAGGGCUACACACAUGCGACAAUGGUUGGAACAAUGAGUUGCAAACCAGUAAUGGCAAGCUAAUCUCCAACACCAGCCCCAGUACGGAUCGAGGGUUGAAACUCACCCUCGUGAAGAUGGAGCUGCUAGUAAACGCAAGUCAGCCAUAUUGCGUUGAAUACGUUCCCGGGCCUU
This 482-nucleotide ribosomal RNA is filed under the name uncultured Caldisericales bacterium. RNAcentral's name for it is "bacterial SSU rRNA". It matches the Rfam family "Bacterial small subunit ribosomal RNA", at positions 916 to 1381 of the family's 1533-position model. Lineage: Bacteria; Pseudomonadati; Caldisericota; Caldisericia; Caldisericales. The record is from RNAcentral.